Long non-coding RNA from Bos taurus (domestic cattle), 2481 nucleotides. The record is from Ensembl. NCBI's taxonomy places the organism in Eukaryota, Metazoa, Chordata, Mammalia, Artiodactyla, Bovidae.
GUUGCGAACAUUAGGCUACACGCAUGGUCACCCUCCCAGUGGACUCUGAACUUUGUGUCCAGUGUCUAUAGAGAUAGCAUACCAAUGGAAAACCAGACCCCCAGAUAAAAUAGCCUCAGGACUUGCACUUGGACUCUCCGUUGUCUAAAAGAAUAUGCUAAUUAUCUCUGUAACAGAACAAAGUGGUAAAUUCCAUUAUGUUUAUCAGGAUAUGACCACAGGCCUAUUGAUAAAUAUCCACUGUUUAUCUAGUCAUGUAACACAUGAAUCAUGGGUUAACUUUGAUCGUAUCUCUCUUUUACCUUGUCCAGACUAGUUUCAAGGAAUUUGGGGAGGUGGGUUUGAGUAAGGACACUUAGGGUAUAUAAGGUUUUCACAAAAACUGGUCGGGGUCCUUGGCUAAGAGGAGACUCUGCCUUGAGCCCUCCAGCGUAAUAAACACUCCACUAUCUGCAUUGUCCUUCUGAGUGAGUUUGUUUCCCAGAACUCAUGGCUACAACAUUUGGUGCAUGGGCCGGGAAACUCCUCACUUUGAAGAAAUAAGUCCCAUUUGGGGCUACUCCGAGGCCUUGCAGCUUGAAUCUUCUAGAGUGGGGAAGGUGCCUUGCCUUUCUGGAAGGAUUCUGCUUCUCAACGCCCAGACCUUUCAUGUUAGCAGGUAAUGGAUGAUAGCAGGGGACCUGAGGGCUCAGGUGAGGAGGAACCCACCCAGCAGGGUGGAAGAGGGGCCCUGAUCACCCUCUGGGAGGGACUAGAAGGGGCACGGACCCACAGGAGCCUGGAAUAGGCAGGCAGCAAUUGCUUGGUACACAGGUUGAUGAGCGUGCUAGGGCUUAGGAAGGGAAUUUGCCAAGGUCAUUUAGGAGGUGUGUCCACGCCAUCUCAGGGAAAAUUAUAACCAGCGAUCACCAGGGGAUUUUUAGGAUAGGAAACUGGUCCUUGUAUGCUCAUAUUCUGCCCUCCCCCAGGAGGUGUUCCAUCUGCUGUUAAAUUCUUGACAGCCUCGGAAUUAUCAGGCUAGAAGGAGGGGGAUACAUAAAUGAGUAUGAAUUGGCUUUUCCGGAGACGGCCUGGGACAUGGGAUAUUUAACCCAUCUGUGUUUUCAUCCGCACCUGAUCAAGCCCACCAAGACAGAACAGACUUUAAGGGAGAAACAGUGUUGGACCACGUGGUGUUCUGGUUUGGCCUUGCUGACCGGCAGGUGAAGACACACGGAUCCCCCUUCGUCCUCUGGGAUCUGGCAGGAUUUGGACGAGGAUGACCUGCCCCUCCCCCAUACCGGAUGAUGACGCACCCUCCGGCCCAGUGCUCCACCAGGACCAGAGGCUGCCUUAAUGCCCAAUCCAGGGCCAGGUGAAGUUCCUGCAGCAGCCAUUCCUCCUCCACCAGCUCUCCUGGAGGUCUUAGAGCCGCCACCUCAGCAGGCUCCAAUCCUGGUGGCAGAAGCCUCUGGCCAGCACUUCCAGGAUCUGGCUCCAGCCGAACCGCCCAAGCUAUACCCACCUCUCCCGAUCUCAAGGACGUCUUCUUCUGCAUACACCUUGUCCCAGCAUCACAGCCCAUCUUUGCCUUUGAAUGGGAAGAUCCAGUCGGGGGCAUCAAACAACAGCUCACCUGGACUCCCCCACAAGGGUUUAAGAAUUCCCCAACCAUCUUUGGGGAAGCCUUGGCUUCUGACCUGGACUCAUUCCACCCGGAAAAGUACAGAUGUUGGCUCCUACAAUACAUGGAUGACCUGCUGCUGGUUGCCGAGACCAGGGAAAAAUGCUGGAAAGGGACAAAAGCACUGCUCCAGCUGCUGAUGGAAGCAGGUUACUGGGUGUCGAAGAAGAAGGCACAGAUCUGCAAAGAGUUAAAGUUACAGGUAUUGCCCCUUGGAUCCAUCAUACGAGGAUGAAGAGAGCAUACCACGCAGACCCAGAAAACGCUGAGUGGACUGCACAGAGGGACCCCGCUGACCCUCGAGAGACUAAGACCAUCCUUAAGAAGAAGGAAAAGAAGAUCCCGGAGCCCCUUGAGGAUGAAGCCACAUAAACAACUCCUGCUGCUUGGUCUCAUCAACAUGCACAUUCCUACGCCAACUUCCACAAUUCCUCCAACUGUUGGAACCACCAUCAACACACAGACCAGAGUGUGAACUUCUUGAGCAAAAGAGACACCCCUUUUGAUUGGAGAGUUGAGGAAGCUUCCUGGAAGAGGUGUCUUGUCAGCUGACCCUGAAUUGUUGGAUUGGGGCCCCGCUGGAUGUGGCAGUGUGGGGCGCCCUCGUGUGGGCAAGGGCGGCCCUGCAGCCGCGCCACCAGGAUCCCAGGCUGCCCUCCUCUCCUCAUCAGUGCUGCCGGCUUCCAGGAGCCCAGGUCGCACUGUUCCCCGGAUGUCAUGGCUGUAGACCCCUCACGUGUCCACCUCACGUGGCACCCCUCACGUGUCCACUACUCCAACUGGCCUGCCUCCAAGCUACGUUCCCUCCUUCUUAUACC